Molecule: transfer RNA, 86 nt
Filed under: Penicillium ucsense
Lineage: Eukaryota; Fungi; Ascomycota; Eurotiomycetes; Eurotiales; Aspergillaceae
Rfam family: tRNA
About the family: Transfer RNA (tRNA) molecules are approximately 80 nucleotides in length.
Source: Rfam by way of RNAcentral
UCUUCCUUGGUCUAGUGGUCAUGAUUUCCGCUUGUCACUGCAACUGAUAAGCGCGGGAGACCGGGGUUCGAUUCCCCGAGGGAGAG